Octopus sinensis (East Asian common octopus) is the source of this 2814-nucleotide long non-coding RNA. RefSeq lists it as uncharacterized. Lineage: Eukaryota; Metazoa; Mollusca; Cephalopoda; Octopoda; Octopodidae. The record is from RefSeq and is a predicted model, not a curated record. The transcript is spliced from 3 exons.
GCAUGGCCGAAGUCAAAUGAUUGAAACAAGUAAGAGUAAAGAGUAUAUAUAUAUAUAUAUAUAUAUGUUGUUAUCAGGCCGAAUAUGCUUGAUGCAUGUUCAAACUGGGGAACAGGCUAAUCACUGCAUUUUGUCCUGGAGAAUAUAUCUUACUUGUAGACAAAUGGUGUGUAUACACUUAGAUCAGCUUGCAGCACCACCUACUUAGACUUUGAAGUGCUAGCAUUUUGGAGUAGUUAUCUCCUUUUCAGUGACAGACACUAGACAGACUAUGCUAUGAGCCGACUGAAGAGAUUGACUCGAUGCUUUUCCAGUCACCAUACAGUGACUGGUAGCGUUAUACAUGCAUCAAGCAUAUUUGGACUGAUAAUAACAUUACAAUUCUACUUAUCACUGCUUAGCGCUCCCUCUCCAUAAUAUGUAUAUAUAUAUACAUACACACAAGAUGUACCUGUGAUACGUUGGGUCACAACCAAUCCAAGUUAAAACUGUUAAUGUGCAGUGGCAAAGGAAAAAAUACCAUUUUGAACUUUAUGCACUAAAAUUCUUUAAUACAGUUGUCUGGUCUUUGUUAUGACAACAUUAACAUGACCAUGUGUUCUUUCUUUGAAAACAUUCAAAUGGCCUUCAACUUUUUGCCAUUCUUUGUUACCACUGUUCCAGGUGAAAUACGUGGGUACUUCAGCAUAAAGUAAUGCUUAUGCAAAGUCAUUGAUGCACAAUGAAAAGAAUUCUGUCAAUGUUGUAUCGAUCAGUAUAAAUAUGGUAACUCCUGUAUCUUUCUAUAAAUGCCAAAAAAAUUUAUUACUGCCUCUUAACAUUAGUUUUGGGGGUAUGUUGGGAGUGAAAACGUUAAAUUCUGUAGAUGAAAUUUUUUGAGAUAUAUUUUACUUGAAAAGAUCAUCUCAGUUGAUAUUAUCUAGGAGAAAAAUUCUUUUUUUUUUUUUGUAUUCACACAAGAAUACUUUAGUGAAGAAAAUUGAUAUAAGUUUCAGGAUAUACAACUAAAUUGGGUUUUUUGUGAAACUGGCUGAAUGGCCAAAAGUAUGUUUGAUUAAUACCAUAUACUUCUGUCAUAUGUUGUUUAUUGACAGCCUCAUUAUUUCUGAGCAAUAUUCUUAGUUCAUCUGUUAGAUAAACUUGCAGUCUCAAUAUUGCAGGUUCUCUUUCAUGAAUUAAAAAUCCUAAAAUGAAUGCAACUGCUUCAGAUGGUCCAGUAUGCCUACCCAUUAGAUAUUGACUAAUUUUGUUAUCAUUGUUUGAACAGCAGUUUGGUUUUGAUUAAGAUGACAAACUUAACAUAAAGUUUAAUAUUUUAUUUUAAAUAACAUAAUUUUCCCCUUUCAGAAAAGAAAAAAAAUCAAGUACCUGUGAUUCAUAAAAAUAUAAAAAUAUUGGGGAAAAUUUUUAUCUUUCGGUCUAUGGCACUCCGAAAGUUGUAUUAAUGAUUAAGGGAAGCAAAUAGGAAGUCAGAAAAAAGGACGGACAGUGGUAGCUGCGACAACUCUUUGAAGUGUUGUUGCCACAAAUAACAUUUUCAACUUGGUUUUUUUACUUUAAGGGAUAUAUGAUCUACUGACAAUAGCUGAAUUGCUACCAGAACCAGAGAUGUUUCAGAUAUGGAAGCAAGAAUUGAAGAGCCUUAAAGUUAACCUAGCAAAAACCAAAGUCUUAAUUGAAGAGGACGGCUGUAACAGCACUUUGAACUCACCCUACUGAACACUGCUUACCACAGCUGACUAGUUUGCAGAAUGCAGUCAUGACAUGAAAAAAAUUUGGAAGCUUGCUACGCAACAAAGUUUUGUGUUAAACAGGAUAAAAAUGCUACAGAAAGUUAUGAAAUGCUCCAGCCAGUAAUGGAUUAACUUGUUUAAGCUAAGCAUCUGUUUUUCACUGGUACAUUUGUUUUUCACUGGUACAUUUGUUUUUCACUGGUACAUCUGUUUUUCACUGGUACAAGAUGUUCAAGGACAGUUGAGAGGUAUGGGAAGGAGUGGGACAAGGAGUGGUUGAGCAAUUGAUGAAAAUAGAUGAAAAUUGUCUAUAAUGGCAAUAAGCAUACAAUUUGAAGUUUGUGUAACACAAUUAUUCAUGAAGAUCUGAACUUUGAGCAAAGUUCUCAGAGUGUUUGGUGAUGAACUAAAAGAAAUAUGCAUUGGUGACAACAGGAGAUGGUUGAACUCAUUAUCUCCAAUCCAUAAAUACUUGAGUCUCUGGUGACCUAUAACAAAAGCUAGGUCCACUGUUAUGAUCUAGAGAUCAAGUGCCCAAUAGAGGCAUCAUGGCUCCCCCAGGUCCAAGAAGGCCAGGCAAAGUAAGUCCUCUGGGAAGCUUAUGAUGAUCCUCUUUUUCAAUCACAAGAGCAUCAUCUACAUUCACUGAAUUCCCUCUGGCCAGACAGACAACACAGAAUAUUUUGUAGAAGUUUUGAGGAAGUUCAGGAAGAGAUUUUGUCACAAAGGGUCAGAACUCUUCCUCUCAAACUGGUGGUACCUACACCAGGACAAUGCACCAAUCCACAAUUCCAAACUGGUAACCAACUACUUGACAGGGACAAGCAUCAAAACCAUCCAUCACCCUCCCUGAGUUUUGUCAAGCUGAGCAAAUCCCCAACCAUUCCAGUCCAUUGUCAUAUCCUCCAUGAAGCUCAAGAUCUGGAGAUCAUUCUUGACCACUUUAUAUCUCAUAUUUUCCUGGGUCUUCUUUGUCUACAGGUUCCAUCAACAUUUAGCAAUCAGCACAUCUUUAUGUAUAUUUACAUAUUUACCUUUAUAUAUAUUAAAUUCAAUAAUGAAUUAAACAUUAUCGACUGCA